Haplochromis burtoni (Burton's mouthbrooder) is the source of this 1792-nucleotide long non-coding RNA. RefSeq annotates it as proline-rich receptor-like protein kinase PERK12. The transcript is spliced from 2 exons. The record is from RefSeq and is a predicted model, not a curated record. Lineage: Eukaryota; Metazoa; Chordata; Actinopteri; Cichliformes; Cichlidae.
CUUUGUCUAAAAUUCCUUAGGUAUUUUACAUCUAUUUAAAUUCUAAACCAUUGUUUAAACCAAUACCACAAAACACAUGUUUACUGUGCUUAUGAAUAGGCACUUCUGGUGGACUUAUUCUUCUACAACCAUUGUCCUAGAAUUUUUAGCGAUCUGUCAUUUCAGUUUAGCUGGGGGUGUUUGGUGAUUUAGCUGUCAUGGUUUUAGGAAUCAGCACUACAGUGCAUAAUAUAUUGCCAGGAACAGGAACCCAAUGAUGGCCCGGUACCCACACAUUUCCACGGCUAUAUAAAAAGAAGGCCAACCCAGAUGUUCUAUUGUUUGCUGAGGACUGAGCAGAAGUGAGAAUUUACUGUAAUCAGUCUGGAGCGUUUCUAUGGUGAGGACACUCGACCAUUAAGGUAGGUUCUCAAUCAUAACUUAGCAUUUCACUUUACUGAACUUGUUGUAGUUCAAGAUGUUGAACAACUUUACUAACAUUCAAUAAUGCAUUUAAAUUGAAUUCUAAAAUGUUUACUUGUGUUACUCUUUAAUUCCUUCAAAUAGUAAUAGAUUAGUGGAUGCAGCAAUACCCUCAUUUAAAACUUAAUGAAUUUUAUGCUUGAGACAGUUAAAGGCAAUGUUAGCAAAGGGUUGACAAAUUUAAAUGUAAAUCAACCCCUCCCCCCAAAAAAAAAAAAAGAUCUGUGCCACUACAAACAUGAUUCCAGAAAUGUCUUUUUUAACAAUAUUUGAGGUGGAAAUCAUUUUUAACUGAACCAAGAAGAAGGUACUCUGUUUGUCUCUCGAUGUACACACUACCAGUUUACCAAUAUGGUUCUUUUAGUUUGUUUCAGCAAAUACAGGAAGGACAGCAAUGGCAGUCCUGAGGGCCACCCUUUGCGCUGUCCUCAUGGUGACUCUAGUGACAGCUAAACCAGUCCAUCUGAAAGAACGUGAGGAUUCACCCAAGUCAUCAGAGUCCAGUGAAUCCAGUUCAUCAGAAGAGACCACCACUAAUGAUAGGUCUUCACAGGAAACCCUGCAGUCAAAUACGCCGGAUGCUACAGAGAACCCCCUGGAUGCAGCACCGCUUCCCUCUGCAGAUGCAGGACCUUCUCUGGCCACUUCUCCUGAAGACCCACAAACCUCAGCUGACCCAGAUGCUUUACAACUUGUGCCAGAUCCGUCUCAUACUGCGAUGAGCGUUGAUGUUUCUUUAGAUGUGCCCAAUUCUGGUCCCACAAAGGACUCUGUUAACGCUGUUAACCCUACCCACAUUCUACCAAACACGCAUCCUUCAGGGCUUUCAGAGACUGGUGUAGUCAUAGGUACAAUUCAACCACAAGUCAUUACCACAUACCAAGGAUCCACCCAGGGUGUCACUCCACCCUUUCCUACAUGUGUCAUCCAACCAACACCUACAGCCCCACCACUGAUACUCCCUAUUGGAACAACACUAGAUGGUGGUCCUGUCUGUUUCACUUUCCAGGUCACAACUGCUGAGCCAGAUCCACCUAGAGGAGACAGCAUUUGAUCCCCAACAGAACACAGAAAUUGUUGUUCAUUUAAGUUUGAGUUCAGCCUAGGUGACCAGGACAGACCACACUAUGGCUGUACAUAUACACAACCUUGACUUGAUACUUAUAUAGAUGUCCUAACUACACAUGGCUUUUACUUUGCCCUCAACCUUGGCAAAUGGGGGGGAAAAAUGGUGCUAAUGUAUAUGCUGUAUAUAUACAAUAAACACAUCUAAAGCUGUUGCAAUAACAAAAGUACAGUCACAAUAAAUAAAUUAAUAAACAGCUGAAAA